CCACGGGUGGCUGCAGUGAGGAAUACUGGUCAAUGGGCGGAAGCCUGAACCAGCCAAGUCGCGUGAGGGAUUAAGGCCCUGCGGGUCGUAAACCUCUUUUGCCGGGGAGCAGUGGUCCGGACGCGUCCGGACCGGGAGAGUACCCGGAGAAAAAGCAUCGGCUAACUCCGUUCCAGCAGCCGCGGUAAUACGGAGGAUGCGAGCGUUAUCCGGAUUUAUUGGGUUUAAGGGGUGCGUAGGCGGGCAUUUAAGCCGGCGGUCAAAUGUCGGGGCUCAACCCCGGCCUGCCGUCGGAACUGGGUGCCUUGAGUGAGUGAGAGGUAUGCGGAAUGCGUGGUGUAGCGGUGAAAUGCAUAGAUAUCACGCAGAACUCCGAUUGCGAAGGCAGCAUACCGGCGCUCAACUGACGCUCAUGCACGAAAGUGUGGGUAUCGAACAGGAUUAGAUACCCCUGUAGUC
This 459-nucleotide ribosomal RNA is filed under the name uncultured bacterium. RNAcentral's name for it is "partial 16S ribosomal RNA". It matches the Rfam family "Bacterial small subunit ribosomal RNA", at positions 339 to 795 of the family's 1533-position model. The record is from RNAcentral.